UAAGUAGUUGUGCAUAUGCCACA
This 23-nucleotide non-coding RNA is filed under the name Arabidopsis thaliana (thale cress). The record is from RNAcentral. Lineage: Eukaryota; Viridiplantae; Streptophyta; Magnoliopsida; Brassicales; Brassicaceae.